AGCAAACUGUGAGUUGUUUAUUUUCUGCCAUUUAAAAAUAUUAAAAUUUGUUUUUGUUAAUAUAUCUGCACAUAAUUUAAUUAGCAAUAUAAAACUGCUUAUCUCUGAUGCUGUAAAUGCAAAGGAGGCGGCAGACUUCAAGCGACAUCUAUCAAAGAAUAGCAAAAAUCGGCCAUUUUUGAGCAGUGUUGCCUACUCAAAUUUGGAAAAUUCAGCUAAAUGCACGGAAUUCUUGUGCAUUACAAACUUGCAUUAACAUGGGUAAAUGUAAAUUAAGCCCGCUAAUACAAAUUAGCGCUGUCGUCUGUCAGGGCUAUAAACCUACAGGUAACAAAUCCUAUAAUUUUCACCCAUACAUACACAGGCGAAAGCUUAUAGAAUGACAGAAAUUAUAUUAAGAAUGCCAUAGAAUGUCUCCCUCAUUCAGGGCAAAAGGCCAGCCACUUCAUUAGGGUUUCCUAAAUAUUCUACUACUAAAACGACCAAAUGCCUUAUAAAAGGCACGAGUGUGUUGCCGAGUUAUGCUAUCCAAUCUAUUAUUUUAAAAUAUAUUUCGAUUAUUAAAAUUCAUAAAGAUGUAAUUUACCUAGCUUUGAUUAAAAUUUUAUAUAUUGUAUCAAAAUAUUGGUAAAUCUUUCCUAUUCUAUUAAAAAAGAAGAAUAUCAGGCAUGUUCCAGAAAUCGCUUUCGCAUGAAAAUGAUAAUGAAACAAGAAUGAUAGAAACAAGAUUGCGCAAUGCGCAUAUUUGCUUUCAGUCAGCUGUUCUUGCUGACGUCACGGUUGACUUAUUAUUCGCCCGCGCUUUUUAAAGUGAAUUCGAAUUGUGUUUUCAAGUGCUGUAUUAAUUGUUAAAUUUUAUAUUUUUUAAAAUGAGUUGCGCAGUGUUAGGUGCAAUAAUAAUAAUGGUAAAAAUUGUACUACGAAAUGGAGAUUUUUCCAUUUCCCUAAAGAUAAAACAGUGGCAAAACAAUGGAUAAUUUUUGUCGUCGUACGGACAAAAUUAAUGCAACUUGCAGUUUGAAAUGCGUUUAAGUUCGCGGAAUCCAACUAAGUUACUGCCUAGCGCUUUUCCCACGUUAACCACUGCUCCUGCAGAGGCUAAUGAACGGCAGAAAAGGAUGGAGUCUCGUUCAAAAAAAGGAAAGUUAACAACAAUGUUGAAGAAUACCGCCCCUGUUGAAGUAAUUCAAGAAGACGAGGUUGGAGAGGCACCUCAAACUGCGGGAGAGGAGGUCAUCAAUUAGAAAGCCGAGAAAAUACUGCAUUUGGAAACAGAAAUACAAAGGCUGAAUAGUGUUGUUAGAACUUUGAAUAAGUGCAAAAACGAGCAGUCAGCAGAAAUUAAACGCCGUAGGAUUUCCAUUAAAACCUCGGAAUUCCACAGAAAUAAUUUGGAGCAAAAACUUAGCUGUAUUUUCAUCAACGGCCAGGUAAUAUUUUUCAACGUGUGUCAGUUGAUCUAAAUUCCACUGACCCAAUUGAAAAAAAUGAUGACUUGGAGAUUCUCAACAACGACGGACUUGAGAAUUUGGCAGGGUACAUCUGCCACAAAGUCGGUAAACACAACCUCGAAAUUUGUGGCAAUUCAGAAAAUUGUUCGUCUUAUACUUGGGUGGAUCACCUUUCUGAAGGAGGACUCUCAAAACCAGCAGAUAUGUUAAUGGAGCAUAUGAGAGUCUUGCAAGCAGGCGAUGUAUAUGGUACUGAUUUGCAUAUAUGUAUGUAUGUACAAAUUACGCACAGAAGCACUUAGAUUUAAAUAAUUUUGUAAAUGGUAGCUCGAAAGUAAAAUAAUUGUUUUUCAUAGCUAUAAUGUAUUUUAGGAUUCGUUCCUUAAAUAAAAACUUAAUUGAACAUACAUAUGUAUAGCAAAAAAAAAGAAAAUUAAAUAAGACAAUAAAUUGAUACUUGGUCACAAAAUAUUCAAUCUUUUUAUUUGCAUAAAUGUAUAUGGUUGAAACAAACACAGCAAAGAGACAAAAUUAAAUAAUACAAUGAAAAUACAAUUAAAUGAAUAUGUACAUAGGUAAAUGUUCACUAUAAAAUAUUCACUUAUAUUGAUAUCUUUUAUUAAUAUUCACUUAUAUUGAUGUUAACUUUUAAUUAUAUUCAUGUUUUUGUAUGCCUGCAAUACAAAAUUGCUUCUUAUUGCAAAGAAAAACAAACAACUGAAAAUCAGCUGAUUGUACGUUGGUCAACCGUGACGUAGAUGCGCAGUACGAACAAAAUUUGAACUCGUCAUUGCGCAAUCUUGUUUCUAUCAGUCUUGAUAAUGAAAUCGUGAGACGGUGUUCUGAAUACCACUUUGCGAUUACGAAUUUACAUUUUUCGAACAUGAAAUCGGUGCGAUAUGGCAUGUUCUAGAAAUCGUUUUCGCAAAUUGUUUGACGUUUUGAUACCGGUUAAAAAUAAGUGCGCGAAAUUAUUGAAUUUGCUUGUAAAAUCUAAAAUGUAAGUAUUUGAGCCAGUUAUUUGGAUUUCUUCACAAAAAUUAAUACUUUCCUUUUCUUAUUUUAGGGGAAAAUAUAAAAGCCAAAGUCAAGAACAAAUUUUUUUAAAUUUUAUGGGGAAAAAUCCUGACUUGAAUUAAGACACUGUGCAAGAUUGCCUCAAAAAGCACAUGGCAACGGAAGCAGGUGCAGUUGAAAAGAUAUCUGAUACCUUGCAGCUUCUUUCUGCAAAUAUGGAUAAAUUGACCAAGUUAGUGGCGUAACAAAAUGAGCUCAUUGCCGAACAAAACCAAGAUCUAAAAUGUUAUAAAGCAAAAGAUGCUAGAAAUUGAAGAAAUUCGAGUCCAAAGGGAUAUUUAUUUCAAACCAAAUACUAAAAAUAUCGAAUAAUUAAUUUUACUAAACUUUACUUUUAUUAUUAAAUGAUCUCAUAGUCAAAAAGUUUAACUUAAAUGUGAUGUUUUUAUUGAAUAAAAAAAUAUGAAAAUUAAA
This is a long non-coding RNA of Bactrocera neohumeralis, 2942 nucleotides long. RefSeq lists it as uncharacterized. The transcript has 4 exons. NCBI's taxonomy places the organism in Eukaryota, Metazoa, Arthropoda, Insecta, Diptera, Tephritidae. The record is from RefSeq and is a predicted model, not a curated record.